UGAAAUAGACUGUGGCAUAGAACUAACAGGUGGAGGACCGUUAAUGCAACUAGCUUCGAACUUCCGUAGAUAAUACUUGGAAUUGGUUAUACUUUAACAACAUGGAACAUGCAACAAAAAUGAAAUUAUUUUUGUUAAAAUAUGUGUAUAUUGUUUACACAUGUGCAACGUAUUCCCAUAGAACAGUUGCACACAGUUACCGGUAGCACCGGCGAUGACCCCGAUUUAAGCACCUGCAAAGAUUCCUCGAGGCGGCCGAUGUUCAUGGAAAGUCAAAAGAGUAAGAAGAUCCUAGAUACGGAUAUAAGUUAAUACAUAUUGUUCCUUGUUCACAUGCGCAACGCUCGUGUACGUAUUAUUUUCUCACAAUUUCUAUCUUUUUCCCGGCCCAUUAUCCACCGUUCUUGUGCAAUUUUUAUUAAUUAACGUUUAAUUAUUCUAACUGACCAAAAUUUCGUAAGGUGAAUAACAGGUUUUUUUUUUUUUUAUGAAACGCUCGUGGCUUGACACACGCUUGACGGAUCAAUGGAAAAUUGUAUAUGUGGAAGAAAUUUGUAUUGUUAUUAAACAGCUAGGGAAUAAUUUCGAGAUAAUUAUUUUAAAGUUAAAAUUACCCGUAAUUCCAGAGAAUCUAUUUUUAAAAUAAACCGUAAGGGAUAAUGAAAUAAGGAUGUUGGCCAUCGAAUUCAUAUGCACGGAUGAAACCGAUGUCAUCGAUAUAUAGUCAUGGACUAACGGAGAAACUUGAUUCGGUCAGAUUAGACUGCCUAUUCGGUCGAUGACCUUACAUAGUCCAAGAUUCUGUUACCUAUUCAUCGAUCUUUCGGAGGAAUAAACGAUGACGCGUUUAAUUGGAAAAUACGAUGUUAAUUUUCGUAGAACUUUGACAAAUGUUUGUUCAAAUUCUUUCUUCUCGUUUUAAAAUUUCCAUCAUUUUUUAUCUAAUUUGAUCGUGGAUCUAUCAUUUCUUUUAUA
Molecule: long non-coding RNA, 975 nt
Organism: Apis mellifera (honey bee)
Lineage: Eukaryota; Metazoa; Arthropoda; Insecta; Hymenoptera; Apidae
Exons: 3
Source: RefSeq, a predicted model, not a curated record